GGGCACCAGCAGGGCCAGGGGCCUGUGGGUUUGGAGUGAGGGGCAAUGUCAUGGGCAAGGCACUGACAUAUCAGGGCUUCUCAGUGCCACAAAGUAGCGGCAAUCACAGCUUGACC
Long non-coding RNA from Gavialis gangeticus (Gharial), 116 nucleotides. RefSeq lists it as uncharacterized. The record is from RefSeq and is a predicted model, not a curated record. The transcript has 3 exons. Lineage: Eukaryota; Metazoa; Chordata; Crocodylia; Gavialidae.